Molecule: long non-coding RNA, 263 nt
Filed under: Mytilus galloprovincialis (Mediterranean mussel)
Lineage: Eukaryota; Metazoa; Mollusca; Bivalvia; Mytilida; Mytilidae
Source: RNAcentral
CAAAAAUUGUACAUUUCAGAACUAAGUCUACACCAAAGACAAAUUUUACUUUUGUACUUAAUAAUAAUGAUAUGGAAAUUGUUCCUAGUUAUACUUAUCUAGGUUUACUGUUGUCAGAAUUUUUAGACUACAAUUGUAUGGCUAAGGCAGUAGCUAAAUCUGCAAGUAGGUCUUUAGGUUUAUUAAUAGCUAAAUGUAAAGCUAAUGGCGGUUUUCAAUUUGAUACAUUUACAAAACUUUUUGAUACACUUGUCAUGUCUGUC